Molecule: ribosomal RNA, 253 nt
Filed under: uncultured bacterium
Lineage: Bacteria
Description: partial 16S ribosomal RNA
Rfam family: Bacterial small subunit ribosomal RNA
Source: RNAcentral
UACGAAGGGAGCGAGCGUUGUUCGGAAUCACUGGGCUUAAAGCGUGCGUAGGCGGGCAGGAAAGUCAGAAGUGAAAGCCCCGGGCUUAACCCGGGAACUGCUUUUGAAACUUCCUGUCUAGAAACCGGAAGAGGUUAGCGGAAUACCCAGUGUAGAGGUGAAAUUCGCAGAUAUUGGGUGGAACACCAGUGGCGAAGGCGGCUAACUGGUCCGGUAUUGACGCUGAGGCACGAAAGCGUGGGUAGCAAACAGG